RNAcentral lists this ribosomal RNA (497 nucleotides) under uncultured bacterium. Its description in RNAcentral is "partial 16S ribosomal RNA". It matches the Rfam family "Bacterial small subunit ribosomal RNA", at positions 28 to 507 of the family's 1533-position model. The record is from RNAcentral.
GAUGAACGCUGGCGGCGUGCCUAAUACAUGCAAAUCGAGCGAAGAGAUUAGGUGCUUGCUCCUCUUAGGUUAGCGGCGGACGGGUGAGUAACACGUGGGGAACCUACCUAUAAGACUGGGAUAACUUCGGGAAACGGGUGCUAAUACCGCAUAAUAUAUUUAACCACAUGGUUCAAGAGUGAAAGACGGUUUUGCUUUCACUUAUAGAUAUAUCCACGUCUCAUUGGCUAGUUGGUAAGGUAACGGCUACCCAAGGCAACGAUGAGUAGCCGACCUGAGAGGGUGAUGGGCCACACUGGAACUGAGAACGGGCCCAGCCUCCUAGGGGAGGAAGAAGUAGGGAACUUUGCGAAAUGGGCGAAAGCCUGACGGAGAAACGCGGCGUGAGGGAUGAAGGUCUUCGGACGGUAAAAUCUGGUUAUUAGGGAAGAACAAAUGUGUAAGUAAAUACGCACGAAUUGACGGUAACUAAUCAGAAAGCCACGGCUAACUACGUG